UGGCGAGCGGCGGACGGGUGAGUAAUGCGUAGAAAUCUGCCCUUUUGUGGAGGAUAACCUGGGGAAACCCAGGCUAAUACUGCAUAAUCUCUACGGAGCAAAGCGGAGGAUCUUCGGACUUCGCGCAGAAGGAUGAGUCUACGUCUGAUUAGCUAGUUGGUGGGGUAACGGCCUACCAAGGCGACGAUCAGUAGCUGGUCUGAGAGGAUGAUCAGCCACACCGGGACUGAGACACGGCCCGG
This 242-nucleotide ribosomal RNA is filed under the name uncultured bacterium. RNAcentral's name for it is "partial 16S ribosomal RNA". It matches the Rfam family "Bacterial small subunit ribosomal RNA", at positions 89 to 334 of the family's 1533-position model. The record is from RNAcentral.